GAUGAACGCUGGCGGCGUGCCUAAUACAUGCAAGUCGAGCGAACGGACGAGAAGCUUGCUCCUCUGAUGUUAGCGGCGGACGGGUGAGUAACACGUGGAUCACCUACCUAUAAGACUGGGAUAACUUCGGGAAACCGGAGCUAAUACCGGAUCAUAUUUUGAACCGCAUGGUUCAAAAGUGAAAGACGGUCUUGCUGUCACUUAUAGAUGGAUCCGCGCUGCAUUAGCUAGUUGGUAAGGUAACGGCUUACCAAGGCAACGAUGCUUAGCCGACCUGAGAGGGUGAUCGGCCACACUGGAACUGAGACACGGUCCAGACUCCUACGGGAGGCAGCAGUAGGGAAUCUUCCGCAAUGGGCGAAAGCCUGACGGAGCAACGCCGCGUGAGUGAUGAAGGUCUUCGGAUCGUAAAACUCUGUUAUUAGGGAAGAACAUAUGUGUAAGUAACUGUGCACGUCUUGACGGUACCUAAUCAGAAAGCCACGGCUAACUACGUG
RNAcentral lists this ribosomal RNA (497 nucleotides) under uncultured bacterium. RNAcentral's name for it is "partial 16S ribosomal RNA". It matches the Rfam family "Bacterial small subunit ribosomal RNA", at positions 28 to 507 of the family's 1533-position model. The record is from RNAcentral.